RNAcentral lists this long non-coding RNA (339 nucleotides) under Malus domestica (apple). RNAcentral describes it as "long non-coding RNA (MDOM_LNC013124)". The record is from RNAcentral. Lineage: Eukaryota; Viridiplantae; Streptophyta; Magnoliopsida; Rosales; Rosaceae.
UGACCUCGAAAAUCCUCGGAAUAAGUUUCCCCUAUAUGUGAAAUAGCUAAAUAACAUUAAUUAAAGCACAUAACAGAAACCUAAAUAAAACGCCCAUAUUUUGCUCAAACCUUGGGUAUAAAUAUAUGAAAUCGAUCUACUCGACGUCACGAACGCGUACGUACCAACCACGCUCCGGCCGGAGGCUGGACGCGCCCCCACGCGCCGCCCAAAGUGGCGGUCCACGCGCCCCCGCGAGUACACUGUACUCGCCUUCUUCGCGAAAAUCUGCAGUUUUGCAGAUUUUUGGGUCAACUUCCAGAGCCCAUAACGAGCUCGAUUCUCAACCAAAUUCACUUC